Long non-coding RNA from Saccostrea echinata, 196 nucleotides. RefSeq lists it as uncharacterized. The transcript has 2 exons. The record is from RefSeq and is a predicted model, not a curated record. NCBI's taxonomy places the organism in Eukaryota, Metazoa, Mollusca, Bivalvia, Ostreida, Ostreidae.
GAGCCCAGUGGACCCACCAAUAUAUGUCGACAGGCAGAUUCAUAGAAGCCCGGAUGGAGACCAUAAUUAAGUACUCAGCAGCACCACGACAAAGCUCGCCAGUAAAAUCAUUCCCCGACGACCCAGGGAACCCUAGGACUGUUGAUCCACCUUCUACCCACAAUCAGGUUCACGAGACCCGGGGGCGACCAUUAAG